UACGUAGGGUGCAAGCGUUAAUCGGAAUUACUGGGCGUAAAGCGUGCGCAGGCGGUUUUGUAAGUCUGUCGUGAAAGCCCCGGGCUCAACCUGGGAAUUGCGAUGGAGACUGCAAGGCUUGAAUCUGGCAGAGGGGGGUAGAAUUCCACGUGUAGCAGUGAAAUGCGUAGAGAUGUGGAGGAACACCGAUGGCGAAGGCAGCCCCCUGGGUCAAGAUUGACGCUCAUGCACGAAAGCGUGGGGAGCAAACAGGAUUAGAUACCCGCGUAGUCC
This 273-nucleotide ribosomal RNA is filed under the name uncultured bacterium. Its description in RNAcentral is "partial 16S ribosomal RNA". It matches the Rfam family "Bacterial small subunit ribosomal RNA", at positions 524 to 796 of the family's 1533-position model. The record is from RNAcentral.